AGAACGAACGCUGGCGGCAGGCUUAACACAUGCAAGUCGAGCGCCGUAGCAAUACGGAGCGGCAGACGGGUGAGUAACGCGUGGGAACAUACCCUCCGGUUCGGAAUAACUCAGGGAAACUUGAGCUAAUACCGGAUACGGCUUAGCGGCGAAAGAUUUAUCGCCGGAGGAUUGGCCCGCGUCCGAUUAGCUAGUUGGUGUGGUAACGGCGCACCAAGGCGACGAUCGGUAGCUGGUCUGAGAGGAUGAUCAGCCACAUUGGGACUGAGACACGGCCCAAACUCCUACGGGAGGCAGCAGUGGGGAAUAUGGACAAUGGGCGCAAGCCUGAUCCAGCCAUGCCGCGUGAGUGAUGAAGGCCUUAGGGUUGUAAAGCUCUUUCACCCACGACGAUAAUGACGGUAGUGGGAGAAGAAGCCCCGGCUAACUUCGCGCCAGCAGCCGC
Molecule: ribosomal RNA, 445 nt
Filed under: uncultured bacterium
Lineage: Bacteria
Description: SSU rRNA
Rfam family: Bacterial small subunit ribosomal RNA
Source: RNAcentral